GGGGCUCUGUGUGUGGGCGCCUCGCGGUGUUCUCGUUUGGCGCCAGUAACAGCCAAUGCUACGGCUUUGAGGGGCUAUCUGGGCUAAAUUCGUGUGAAUGUCUUUGAUGGCACAUCCUAAUUCUUAGGUUGUGAGAGAGUGAAUGACUUCUGUGUUCACUUUUGGGAUGCCAGCACUGGUUUUGCCACCUUCUCCUUCGCGGCUCCUUUUCCUAUGCUGGAGAAAAUAUAUCUGAGCUGAUACAGGAUGCUGUCAGCACUUGGUGCUUUUGCACGAGGCCACUAAGGCCAUGCAGACCAACCACCAGCUGUGCCCACUAAGCCAUAACAGUGCUGAGCUGUGGCCUCGUGGUUUGGUAGCUCGCAGUCUGUGUGUGAAACUUGCUGGAGCUGCACAUGGACUUGGGAUGGCCAGGAGAUCUGGGUGCUGCACGAAGCACGAAUGAUGCUGGGGAGGGGAGCCCUCUGGAAACUGUGACGGCUUGUGUGUGUUGCAACUACAUCUGAUUAGUUCAUCAGGAGCCGGUGUCAGCCUGGUACAUCUAGCGCUGAGUGAGCCUGGAUGCAGUCCAGCUGCUGCCUUGCCCUAUAGGGCUGAAGUGCUCAGCCUUGCUGAACCAGACGUGUGCCUGGGUGUGCCUGAUCUGUGUUGCUCUUAUCAGGAGAGCUAAGCAGCCCAGCCCAGCGGGUGUCCUCGCAAGAGUGCGACCCUGACUCUGCAUGGCUGAUGCUCAGCUGGAGAUAUGGCAGUUCUGAUUGAUUUCAGAGCCUGACAGACAGACAUUCCAGCUUCACUUUGGAGUGACCAUUCCUAAAAUCAAAAAGACAGCAGUGACUCCGGGCCACUUUUUCUGAGAUCAACUGCUUGCUAUGAUGAUGGAUGUUUCUUUACUUUGGACUAAGCUGAAGUUCCUGGCUUGCUUCUUGUCUCCAAAGAGCAUGAAGGAGAAAGGCUACAUCUAUCUGAGCUCUAAGUACAUGGUGCCGGAGUCACAAGACUGAUUUAUCUGAAUUGAAUUGGAGCAUACAGCAGUUCUUCCCUGGCUGAGAAAGGUAGGUUUCCUUUUUGUAGUGGUCUGGACUGACUGUGAAGAAAAGAUGGUGCAUGCCUAUUUAGAGCUGGUGCAGAGCUGGAACGUGGAAUAAGACAGUAUCUGAAACUGAGAGUUAGGAACCAUUCCCAGAUAUACGGAGCUUUGUCCAAAGAUCUUCAGUGGACUGAGUUGUCCCUAUGGCCAUUUCUUUCCAUAUAUAUUAGAAGGAGUCUUGUUGAUAUUCUAGAAGUUCUCUCUCGGAUGCUAACUCAAAACCCUAGGUUGACUGGCUUGUGAAUUAUGAAUGCUAGUGAUAAAAAUCCCACUGAGAGCUUUCUGAAAGACCGUAUGUGGUGGAUUUGUGAUCAUCAUUUAUUACACGUUUGAUAGAUAUCUGCGUGAUAAAAUAUGAAUGUGUAUUAUCAGUAUAAUGACAAGAAAACAAAUUUGUAUAUCAUAUAGUUGUUAUUGGACAGCACUGUUUUGAUAUGUGUAUAUAUACCCUUUAAGGAUAGUGAGCCACUAUUAAAUAACAUAAAACAGGAAAUUUUGGUCACUGAUUUCUGAAAAAGCCCCUUCAGAUGAUCAGUUGAGUGGAAGCAUGUUCCAGGAAACGGUGCAAAA
Meleagris gallopavo (turkey) is the source of this 1657-nucleotide non-coding RNA. NCBI's taxonomy places the organism in Eukaryota, Metazoa, Chordata, Aves, Galliformes, Phasianidae. The record is from RefSeq and is a predicted model, not a curated record.